This 627-nucleotide ribosomal RNA is filed under the name uncultured Agaricales. RNAcentral describes it as "eukaryotic LSU rRNA". The stretch from base 228 to 381 matches the Rfam family "5.8S ribosomal RNA". Lineage: Eukaryota; Fungi; Basidiomycota; Agaricomycetes; Agaricales. The record is from RNAcentral.
CAUUAAUGAAGUAUAGGGAGUUGUUGCUGGCUCUAUUCGAGCAUGUGCACACUCCUUCGCUUUACUUACCACCUGUGCACCUUUUGUAGACUAGUGAUAACCUUCAGUUGUCAAGACUGGAUUGGAGUUUGCACUUUGUGCUUUCUCUGCUAUCAUUAGUCUAUGUUUUAUAUACACUAUGUAUGGCAAGCAUGUCAUUAACAGGUCUUUGACCUUUAAUACAAUAUAACUUUCAACAACGGAUCUCUUGGCUCUCGCAUCGAUGAAGAACGCAGCGAAAUGCGAUAAGUAAUGUGAAUUGCAGAAUUCAGUGAAUCAUCGAAUCUUUGAACGCACCUUGCACUCCUUGGUAUUCCGAGGAGUAUGCCUGUUUGAGUGUCAUUAAAUUCUCAAAUCUCAUCAGUUUUAUAACUGACUUGAGACUUUGGAUGUGGGAGUUGCAGGCUUCUCAGAAGUCUGCUCUCCUUAAAUAUAUUAGUGGUUACUGUUUGACCAUAUCCUGGUGUGAUAAUAUCUACUCCAAGGGUUGGUUAAUACUUAAAAGGUAGCUGCUUCGAACAGUCUAUUAACUUGGACAACUUUGAACCAUUUGACCUCAAAUCAGGUAGGAUUACCCGCUGAACUUAA